This 380-nucleotide ribosomal RNA is filed under the name uncultured eukaryote. RNAcentral describes it as "partial 18S ribosomal RNA". It matches the Rfam family "Eukaryotic small subunit ribosomal RNA", at positions 592 to 976 of the family's 1831-position model. The record is from RNAcentral.
CAAUAGCGUAUAUUAAAGUUGUUGCGGUUAAAAAGCUCGUAGUUGGAUUUCUGCUGAGAACGACCGGUCCGCCCUCUGGGUGUGUAUCUGGCUCUUUCUUGGCAUCUUCUUGGUGAACGUUGCUGCACUUGACUGUGUGGAGCGCUACCCAGGACUUUUACUUUGAGGAAAUUAGAGUGUUUCAAGCAGGCAUACGCCUUGAAUACAUUAGCAUGGAAUAAUAAGAUAGGACCUCGGUUCUAUUUUGUUGGUUUCUAGAGCUGAGGUAAUGAUUAAUAGGGAUAGUUGGGGGCAUUCGUAUUUAACUGUCAGAGGUGAAAUUCUUGGAUUUGUUAAAGACGGACUACUGCGAAANGANNNGCCAAGGAUGUUUUCAUNGG